This 240-nucleotide ribosomal RNA is filed under the name Escherichia coli. RNAcentral's name for it is "partial 23S ribosomal RNA". It matches the Rfam family "Bacterial large subunit ribosomal RNA", at positions 2703 to 2925 of the family's 2925-position model. Lineage: Bacteria; Pseudomonadati; Pseudomonadota; Gammaproteobacteria; Enterobacterales; Enterobacteriaceae. The record is from RNAcentral.
GCAUCACUGGUGUUCGGGUUGUCAUGCCAAUGGCACUGCCCGGUAGCUAAAUGCGGAAGAGAUAAGUGCUGAAAGCAUCUAAGCACGAAACUUGCCCCGAGAUGAGUUCUCCCUGACCCUUUAAGGGUCCUGAAGGAACGUUGAAGACGACGACGUUGAUAGGCCGGGUGUGUAAGCGCAGCGAUGCGUUGAGCUAACCGGUACUAAUGAACCGUGAGGCUUAACCUUACAACGCCGAAG